UGUUUUAUCAUCUCAAAUGUGGGAUUGACUGAUUCAUGUGAAAGACCCACCACACUGACUGACACAUAGAAAGCACUUAAUAAAUCUGUUGGAUGGGGACGGAGGUGAGUUCAUUCUCACCUAAACAGGACAAGGCCUGGUGUGUCUCAGGCCAUGCACUGUGACUGUGGGAUGAACCAGAAGCAUCAUAUCCCAUAGAAUGGCUGAGGCGUGAGCCAGAAAUGCCUUUCUGGAUUGCCUGCUGGUGUAUGACCAGACUGGGCAUGACUCAGACUUGAGGUUCCCUCAGGAAUGACACCCAUGUCACUGUCUGCAAUGUCUGUUUAAUACAAUGAUUUCUCAAACUCUGGUAUUGAGUCACAAUCAGCUGUACUGCCUUCCCAACGCACGUGGCUGAGCUUCACCCUGAUCUAUAGAUCUAGCACCUCUUGGGCAGGUGUGCAGAGGAUAUUCACAUUUUGUUCCUCUCUUUGCUGGAAUUAACCAUGCUGAGACUGGGCAAGAGGAGUGAGGGGAUGAAACUCUGUGGAGGUGGUUUGGCUGAACCUUUCUCUGAGAGCCUUCUCCAGCUCCCAGGGGGGAAGCUGCGUUAUCAAAGGUCAUAAGUCUUGCCCUAGGAGACUCUGCCAUUUGGAGAAUAAGGGGCCACAGAAGGAAGAGGGAAGAGCAUGGGGAUGGCUUCCAAUCAACCAGAUGCACGCCCUCAGGACCCUCUAGGGCAAGGUGCAAAGGUUCUGAGAAGAUGCGCUCUCCUUUCCCCCCUAACUCCAGGGAGAUGAACGGCCGCUGGGUACUGUGCUGAAGAGAAAAGACACCAACCCAUGAGCUUAAUUCCCAAGCCACUUCUUGACACCUAUUUAACAUUAAAAAUUAUAUUAACCUCUCUAAGAUUCAUUUUUUUAUCUACCAAAGAGAAAGAUAAUUUUUUACCUCACUGGUUGGUUAUAACAACUAGCAUAACUUAUAUGAAAGUGCUCUAUAAACUGUUUGUUUUUAGAAGACACAACUCCUGUUCCUCAUCAGAUAAUAAAAAUUUGAGGUGUGACUUGUUAUAUCUCGCAGCUCCUAACAUGAUGUAACACCCACAGCAGAUCUCAGAAUAUGUUACCAGCCAGCACUGAUAA
Molecule: long non-coding RNA, 1124 nt
Organism: Phyllostomus discolor (pale spear-nosed bat)
Lineage: Eukaryota; Metazoa; Chordata; Mammalia; Chiroptera; Phyllostomidae
Exons: 2
Source: RefSeq, a predicted model, not a curated record